This 253-nucleotide ribosomal RNA is filed under the name uncultured bacterium. RNAcentral describes it as "partial 16S ribosomal RNA". It matches the Rfam family "Bacterial small subunit ribosomal RNA", at positions 524 to 776 of the family's 1533-position model. The record is from RNAcentral.
UACGGAGGGAGCUAGCGUUGUUCGGAAUUACUGGGCGUAAAGCGCGCGUAGGCGGCUUUGUAAGUUAGAGGUGAAAGCCCGGGGCUCAACCCCGGAACUGCCUUUAAGACUGCAUCGCUUGAAUCCGGGAGAGGUGAGUGGAAUUCCGAGUGUAGAGGUGAAAUUCGUAGAUAUUCGGAAGAACACCAGUGGCGAAGGCGGCUCACUGGGCCGGCAUUGACGCUGAGGUGCGAAAGCGUGGGGAGCAAACAGG